UCGACGGUAACAGGAAGAAGCUUGCUUCUUUGCUGACGAGUGGCGGACGGGUGAGUAAUGUCUGGGAAACUGCCUGAUGGAGGGGGAUAACUACUGGAAACGGUAGCUAAUACCGCAUAACGUCGCAAGACCAAAGAGGGGGACCUUCGGGCCUCUUGCCAUCGGAUGUGCCCAGAUGGGAUUAGCUAGUAGGUGGGGUAACGGCUCACCUAGGCGACGAUCCCUAGCUGGUCUGAGAGGAUGACCAGCCACACUGGAACUGAGACACGGUCCAGACUCCUACGGGAGGCAGCAGUGGGGAAUAUUGCACAAUGGGCGCAAGCCUGAUGCAGCCAUGCCGCGUGUAUGAAGAAGGCCUUCGGGUUGUAAAGUACUUUCAGCGGGGAGGAAGGGAGUAAAGUUAAUACCUUUGCUCAUUGACGUUACCCGCAGAAGAAGCACCGGCUAACUCCGUGCCAGCAGCCGCGGUAAUACGGAGGGUGCAAGCGUUAAUCGGAAUUACUGGGCGUAAAGCGCACGCAGGCGGUUUGUUAAGUCAGAUGUGAAAUCCCCGGGCUCAACCUGGGAACUGCAUCUGAUACUGGCAAGCUUGAGUCUCGUAGAGGGGGGUAGAAUUCCAGGUGUAGCGGUGAAAUGCGUAGAGAUCUGGAGGAAUACCGGUGGCGAAGGCGGCCCCCUGGACGAAGACUGACGCUCAGGUGCGAAAGCGUGGGGA
This 715-nucleotide ribosomal RNA is filed under the name uncultured bacterium. RNAcentral's name for it is "bacterial SSU rRNA". It matches the Rfam family "Bacterial small subunit ribosomal RNA", at positions 62 to 767 of the family's 1533-position model. The record is from RNAcentral.